CUGAGAAACUGUUGGUGUCCUCUUAUCGCUGCCGGGGCCGGUCCGUGAGUCAUUUGGUACCUAGCCGCGAGAGUUGAGACUCAGGGAAUACAUAUGACCUACCAACAUUAAAAAUAACCACAGCGUGAAUGAAGAGGAGACAGGAAGUAAAGAAGAUAGACAUUUGUCUUUGACAAGUACAACAGAGUUCGCAAGUUGCAGUUGUGACAAGAUGAGAAGGAAAACCAGAACAAAAGGCGAUGAUUGAUCACAAAUUAUUCAACAUUUCUCUAUUUUUGUUGCUUCUUUAUUCAGGAGCACUUAGUGAAGAUCUUCCGCUUGCCUUCACUGUCAGAGAUGGAGAUAAAGUCACUUUGCCUUGUAAAAAUCGGUUCAACAUUCAUCACAACUGUGACACUAUCACCUGGAUCUUCAGAGAUUCAAGAGGCACACCAGCAGUAGAGCUGGUUAAUCUUGGACAAAUCAAAGAAGAAGCCAAAUCAGACAGACUGAGUGUUACAGCAGAAUGCUCACUGGUUAUAAAGAAGGUCACAGCUGAGGAUGUUGGUCGUUACACCUGCAGACAGUUUAGAGGCAAUCCAGGGAGACAGCAAGGUCCAGAUGCUGUGGUUUAUCUGUCUGUUGUCGUCAUGACCGAAAAGAAGAACGCUGAUGAGGUGACUUUAAGCUGCUCUGUGUUGACAUUUGAUCAGUGUAGACACAAAGUGAAGUGGAUCCAUAACAGAAGAGAUCUGGAUAGAGAUUACUCAAAUUUAAAAACAUCACAGUCUUCCUGCUCUGCUACUGUGACAUUUCUGAACCUUACAUAUGGUCACAUAUCAAGUUCUGACUUUAAGUGUAGCUUAAAAAGAACAGAAAAUAACAAAGAGCAGCUUUUUACCUUCAGCCAUCAUUCAUCAGGUGAAGAAACAAAUACAGCAACAACAGUUAAAUUAGACACAGUGACUACAAUAAAAGUGCUGGAAAUGGAUGGUUCAACAAACUUACCAGAAAUAUAUGCAGCAGCAACAAUUAAAUUGGAAAUAAUGACUGAAUCUGGCAUUAAAGGAGGUCUGACAACAAAACAGCUGGAAAUCAUGAAUGGUUUGAGAAAAUUACCAGACUGGUCCUGGUACAGGCUUGCCAUUGUGGCCCUGGGUUUAGUAGCACUUAUAGCAGCUGUUGUUGUCGUCAGCAUCUGGAUAAGAGCUGGGAAAAAAGCACAGAUGGAUGAAAACAUGGAACAGAAUUUAAACUCUGCAGUAACUUCGUCUGCUCCAGGAACCAUUCAGGAAUCUGCUGAUCUUCAAGAUGUUGUUCUCUACACCUCCCUCAGCUACACUGAGACCACCUACAGCUGUCCAGGUCUUCAGGUUCCCUAUAAAGAAGAUGAAGAAGGUGAAGCUUUGACCUACAUUAUAUGUUCAGUCUCUUCUCCUGGACCUGCUCCCAGCAACCUCUAUGCUAGCAUCAACAAACCAAAAGACUAAAAAACAGGAAAAAACACAGAAUCUCUUUUUCUUUGAUAACUUCUUUCUUUCUUUCCAUUCUUGUGUAAUGAAAGAGGGUUUCUGUUUUGUUAAAGUUCCCAGGAUUUAACAACAGUGAUAAUAUAAUCUGUAUUUUAAUUUUUAAUUUCUAACCCAGAAUGUUGCACUAUAUUUUUUCAUAGAUUGUUUAUUGCUUUAUCAGUGUACAUAUAUGUGUUUGUAUAUCUGCAGUUUAGGCCUGAUGAUUUUAUGAUAUUAAAAAGUGUUUUUCCAUUAUGUAAAAUCCCAAGCAGCCAAUAAAGGCUCCAGCACGUGAGUUUUAUUGUCAUGGUACUGGGUCUCUGACCCAGUGUUUUUGUUGGUUUUAGUUAUGUUCUUUGUUUAUUGUAUUUCAUGUAUAGGUUUCCUGUUACUUUGCCUUCCCUGUGUCCCGUGUCUAGUUACCCUUGUCUCCAUGUUCCUUCUGCCUCCCCAGUGAGUUGUGUCUUUUGUCACUCCUGUCUCUCUGCUCCGUGUUCAGUUUGUUCAGUGUCAAGUCAGCGUCUUUGUGUUAUAUUUCCUGUUACUGUGACGUUCCCUUGUCUCAUGUCAGUGUUUGUAGUUUUGCUUUGGUCUUUUCAUGUUUGAUUACUCCCACCUGCACCUUGCUCUUGUGUCUCAUUCCCUCGUUAUCCCUCAGUGUAUUUAAGCCCUGUGUUUUCCUUGUUCUGUGUUGUGUUGUACGGUGUGUGUUUACCUGUGUGCACCUCUCUGUGUGCUUAGUAGGGAUGGGUAUCGUUUAGGUUUUAUCCGAUACCGGUGCCAAAUCGGUACUUUUGAAACGGUGCCGGUGCUUAAACGGUGCUCGAACCGGUGCUUAAAGAAUGGAGAACACAAAAUUGGUCCAAAAACCUCUCAUGUUCAG
This is a long non-coding RNA of Astatotilapia calliptera (eastern happy), 2373 nucleotides long. NCBI's taxonomy places the organism in Eukaryota, Metazoa, Chordata, Actinopteri, Cichliformes, Cichlidae. The record is from Ensembl.